GUGUCGUGCGGACAUGGACGGUGAAAAGGGAAUUGGGUGAGAAUCCCAUGCGGUUGACAGUCGCCGUAUGUGUCCGAACGUCACCGUAUCCGUCGGCGAAAGCCGGUCAUUGGGAAACCGAGAAGGCAGGGUACGGACAGGCUCAAAGAAAGGGUCGGUUUUUGACGCGCGAAAGUUUGCAUAGGACACAAGUCGGAAGACCUGCUUUGAU
RNAcentral lists this non-coding RNA (211 nucleotides) under human gut metagenome. The record is from RNAcentral.